RNAcentral lists this ribosomal RNA (1395 nucleotides) under uncultured bacterium. RNAcentral describes it as "16S ribosomal RNA". It matches the Rfam family "Bacterial small subunit ribosomal RNA". The record is from RNAcentral.
AGAGUUUGAUCCUGGCUCAGGAUGAACGCUAGCGACAGGCUUAACACAUGCAAGUCGAGGGGCAGCACAGGUAGCAAUACCGGGUGGCGACCGGCGCACGGGUGAGUAACGCGUAUGCAACUUGCCUAUCAGAGGGGGAUAACCCGGCGAAAGUCGGACUAAUACCGCAUGAAGCAGGGGCCCCGCAUGGGGAUAUUUGCUAAAGAUUCAUCGCUGAUAGAUAGGCAUGCGUUCCAUUAGGCAGUUGGCGGGGUAACGGCCCACCAAACCGACGAUGGAUAGGGGUUCUGAGAGGAAGGUCCCCCACAUUGGUACUGAGACACGGACCAAACUCCUACGGGAGGCAGCAGUGAGGAAUAUUGGUCAAUGGCCGAGAGGCUGAACCAGCCAAGUCGCGUGAGGGAUGAAGGUUCUAUGGAUCGUAAACCUCUUUUAUAAGGGAAUAAAGUGCGGGACGUGUCCCGUUUUGUAUGUACCUUAUGAAUAAGGAUCGGCUAACUCCGUGCCAGCAGCCGCGGUAAUACGGAGGAUCCGAGCGUUAUCCGGAUUUAUUGGGUUUAAAGGGUGCGUAGGCGGCCUUUUAAGUCAGCGGUGAAAGUCUGUGGCUCAACCAUAGAAUUGCCGUUGAAACUGGGGGGCUUGAGUAUGUUUGAGGCAGGCGGAAUGCGUGGUGUAGCGGUGAAAUGCAUAGAUAUCACGCAGAACCCCGAUUGCGAAGGCAGCCUGCCAAGCCAUUACUGACGCUGAUGCACGAAAGCGUGGGGAUCAAACAGGAUUAGAUACCCUGGUAGUCCACGCAGUAAACGAUGAUCACUAGCUGUUUGCGAUACACUGUAAAGCGGCACAGCGAAAGCGUUUAGUGAUCCACCUGGGGAGUACGCCCGCAAACGGUGAAGCUCAAAGGAAUUGACGGGGGCCCGCACAAGCGGAGGAACAUGUGGUUUAAUUCGAUGAUACGCGAGGAACCUUACCCGGGUUUGAACGCAUUCGGACCGAGGUGGAAACACCUUUUCUAGCAAUAGCCGUUUGCGAGGUGCUGCAUGGUUGUCGUCAGCUCGUGCCGUGAGGUGUCGGCUUAAGUGCCAUAACGAGCGCAACCCUUGCCACUAGUUACUAACAGGUAAAGCUGAGGACUCUGGUGGGACUGCCAGCGUAAGCUGCGAGGAAGGCGGGGAUGACGUCAAAUCAGCACGGCCCUUACAUCCGGGGCGACACACGUGUUACAAUGGCGUGGACAAAGGGAAGCCACCUGGCGACAGGGAGCGAAUCCCCAAACCACGUCUCAGUUCGGAUCGGAGUCUGCAACCCGACUCCGUGAAGCUGGAUUCGCUAGUAAUCGCGCAUCAGCCAUGGCGCGGUGAAUACGUUCCCGGGCCUUGCACUCACCGCCCGUCA